GUCCACGCCCUAAACGAUGUCAACUGGUUGUUGGGAGGGUUUCUUCUCAGUAACGAAGCUAACGCGUGAAGUUGACCGCCUGGGGAGUACGGCCGCAAGGUUGAAACUCAAAGGAAUUGACGGGACCCGCACAAGCGGUGGAUGAUGUGGUUUAAUUCGAUGCAACGCGAAAACCUUACCUACCCUUGACAUGUCUGGAAUCCUGCAGAGAUGUGGGAGUGCUCGCAAGAGAACCAGAACACAGGUGCUGCAUGGCCGUCGU
Molecule: ribosomal RNA, 262 nt
Filed under: uncultured bacterium
Lineage: Bacteria
Description: partial 16S ribosomal RNA
Rfam family: Bacterial small subunit ribosomal RNA
Source: RNAcentral